AACUGGUCUGAUGGUAGUGGGUUAUCAGAAUUUAUUAACAUUAGUGUCACUAAAGUUGGUAUACAACCCUCCACUGCUAAAUUUGACUGGCUUAAA
Unclassified non-coding RNA from Chlorocebus sabaeus (green monkey), 96 nucleotides. It matches the Rfam family "Y RNA". From Rfam's summary of the family: Y RNAs are components of the Ro ribonucleoprotein particle (Ro RNP), in association with Ro60 and La proteins. The record is from Ensembl. NCBI's taxonomy places the organism in Eukaryota, Metazoa, Chordata, Mammalia, Primates, Cercopithecidae.